This 513-nucleotide ribosomal RNA is filed under the name uncultured bacterium. Its description in RNAcentral is "bacterial SSU rRNA". It matches the Rfam family "Bacterial small subunit ribosomal RNA", at positions 15 to 518 of the family's 1533-position model. The record is from RNAcentral.
GAUCAUGGCUCAGGAUGAACGCUAGCGGCAGGCUUAACACAUGCAAGUCGAGGGGCAGCGGGAUGUAGCAAUACAUUGCCGGCGACCGGCGGAUGGGUGCGUAACGCGUAUGCAACCUACCUUAUACAGGGGAAUAACCUUUCGAAAGGGAGACUAACACCCCAUAGUAUUGAUUUAAGGCAUCUUAGAUUAAUUAAAUAUUUAUAGGUAUAAGAUGGGCAUGCGUAUGAUUAGCUAGUUGGUAAGGUAACGGCUUACCAAGGCGACGAUCAUUAGGGGUUCUGAGAGGAAGGUCCCCCACACUGGUACUGAGACACGGACCAGACUCCUACGGGAGGCAGCAGUGAGGAAUAUUGGUCAAUGGGCGCAAGCCUGAGCCAGCCAUGCCGCGUGCAGGGAAAGACGGCCUUAUGGGUUGUAAACUGUCUUUUACAUAAGACUAACCGUAUAUUUGCGAAUAUACCUGAAUGUAUUAUGAGAAUAAGGAUCGGCUAACUCCGUGCCAGCAGCCGC